CCUACGGGAGGCAGCAGUGGGGAAUAUUGCACAAUGGGGGAAACCCUGAUGCAGCGACGCCGCGUGAGCGAUGAAGUACUUCGGUAUGUAAAGCUCUAUCAGCAGGGAAGAAAAUGACGGUACCUGACUAAGAAGCCCCGGCAAACUACGUGCCAGCAGCCGCGGUAAUACGUAGGGGGCAAGCGUUAUCCGGAUUUACUGGGUGUAAAGGGAGCGUAGGCGGCUGUGCAAGCCAGAUGUGAAAGCCCGGGGCUCAACCCCGGGACUGCAUUUGGAACUGUGUAGCUGGAGUGUUGGAGAGGCAGGCGGAAUACCUAGUGUAGCGGUGAAAUGCGUAGAUAUUAGGUGGAACACCAGUGGCGAAGGCGGCUUGCUGGACAAUGACUGACGUUGAGGCUCGAAAGCGUGGGGAGCAAACAGGAUUAGAUACCCGUGUAGUC
This 440-nucleotide ribosomal RNA is filed under the name uncultured bacterium. RNAcentral describes it as "partial 16S ribosomal RNA". It matches the Rfam family "Bacterial small subunit ribosomal RNA", at positions 338 to 795 of the family's 1533-position model. The record is from RNAcentral.